Molecule: long non-coding RNA, 7137 nt
Filed under: Sus scrofa (pig)
Lineage: Eukaryota; Metazoa; Chordata; Mammalia; Artiodactyla; Suidae
Description: lncRNA (ENSSSCG00000055921.1)
Source: RNAcentral
UAACGGCCAUAAAUUUGACAAUAUGAAGUAGAAGCUGAAAAAAAAAAAUCUAAAUAGGAAACUAUUAUCAGUUUAAAAUUUUUAUAUUUACUACAUAAAUUCUGAUAUUCCCAGAAUGUGCAAAAAUAUUUCCUGCUCUGAGGGCUUAGAAAGCUCAGAACAUUUGAGGUGUAAAUUGACCAAAUAUUUAGACAUUAUUUGCUGGGCCUAUAAUUCUUCCCUUUGGUUGGAGGUUAAAUAUGAAAAGAAUAGGAAACUAUACAAUUGAGAUAUUUUUGCUUGCCUAUUUUCAAACUAGAUUCCAUGAGUCUUAAGGUAAUCACCCAGAAAAUGUCUUUGCAUGAAUUAAUGUUACCAAAAAUAAGAUUUAGAUCCUUACACUAUGACUUUGUGCUUAAUAAUAUAUUUCAGUGCCCUUAAACUCUGAUCUUAAUUAGGAGAACUUCUUAAUAAAUUAUAAUUAAGCUGUUAAAAUGAAUUUUGGAAUCUGUUAAACAAAAUAAAUUUUGGAAUCUAAAAUCUAAAAAAUAAAACCAUUUCCUAACACAGAAGAAGAUGUCAACAAGUAUUUGUUGAAUGAACAGAUUGCAUUAGAGAUCAUGGAAAAUAUUUUUUUUAAAUAUGGUAACACUCCCAGCUUCCUGGCACCAGAAAGAGGUGAUAUGUUUAUUUCAUAUUUAUUUUAUGUUUUAUUUGGUCAGUUUGUUGCCUGGAUGCAAAAGGAAGGCAUUUUACAUCUUUCUAGCUUUACUGCAUUCUAAAACCCCCAAAGAAGUAACAAUUCAAGAAAGAUGAAAAGAUUUGGAACAUGUUAACACUGUAUUCAAAUAUUAAUAUACCAACUGUUUCAAGUAGGAAACUCAAUUAGUAUUUAAGGAGAAUACAAAGUGCAAGCACUGUGAAGGGCACAUAUUCAUUACCAAACUAUGCAUGGGGAGAAAUAGCUGUUUUUUUUUGCUUCCUAACUGCACUCCUUUUUAUCGCAAACAUCAGUCUAUCAAGAUGGUAUUUUUUUUCCUGAAUGUCUCUCAUCGAGAGAUUUUGUAGCAUUUUGCAAAUGGGUAAGCUCUGCUACUAUCAAAAGUGUUCUUUCUCUCAGUAAUUCAUAUUGAAUGUAUCCAUAUCCAUAAGGAUUUUACAAAAGAGUUUACAACAUCAAUGAGAAAUAGCCCACCAAACCAGAAAUAUGAAUAAUGCUAAACUGAGUUAUUGGUUGAAAAAAACUGUAAUUUUGAGAAAGCCACUUAACUUCUCUGGACUUUUUUUGUUUGUACUGGCCCUUUUAGUGUCAUUAUCCUCUCACCUAAGAUCUAAAUUGAUAUUUGCAUGUAUUUGCAAAUGCAAUUCCAAUGACCACUGCAAAAUAAUAUUUUGGAGGUAAAUAUUCCAACAAGAUUUCCCUCUUAUUUCUCUGAUUAGAUGUUUGAAGUAUAAAACUGAUUAUUUGAGCUAACAUCUGGAAAGAACCUAAUCCAAGGCUUAGAAUAUAGCAAGUGCUCAGUUAAUUAACUCUCCUCCUUUUACUUCUUCCUCCCCUUGGUUCUCUACCUUUGCAAAUUCAUCAUCUAACUACUCACUGAGACCUUAAUUUCCCUAAGAAAAAUAACCCUAUAUUGAGUAUUAUUAUAACACGUUAGAUUUUUCUAUACCAUCUACAUUCUUAUUACAAUAAUCUGAAAAUCUUUACUGAUGCAAAAUUUCAGGGAGGCAAUGAAGGCACAUAGCAAAUCCCCAGAUAACAAACAGUAAAAUAAGGAGGCUAAUUUGACUAAGCCAGAAUGAAUAAAUCUAGACAAUUUAGUUAUUUUUUAACUCAUGGUAAUAUAUAUUUAUUCAUUUGAUUUCUAUUUAAAAUAUUUUAUGAAGAAUUUAAAAAGAACUUCUCCAACAUCAACUGCCUUUUGUUAGUGUUAGUGAAAAGCCUGGUUCCCAGGUCACCUGAUCUAGAUUCACAAGUAUUUAUGAAUAAUACUGAUUCCUGGGCCUUGCUCAUGCAAUUGGAAUAUCUUCAAAUGAGUCCAAAAAAUGAUUUAAUGUAUGUUCUAAGUUAUUCUGUUCCAUGCUAGAGUUUGUGUACCACCCAUAGCCAAUAAUUCUCAAACACAUAUAUGUCUUUGGAACUUUCUGGGUCAGUGGCAUAAGAAUCACUUGAAGAAGUAUUAAUAAUACUUUUGAUUCUCUGGGUCUGGGAUGGGAACUGGAAUCUGGAUUUUAAAAAUUCCCCUGUAUAGUUCUGAUGUGCUGUCAGGUUUUGAGAUCUGUGCCUUAGCCACCUGUUAAAUGGGAAGUAUUCUAUUGCUCAGUUGAUAUGAACUAUCACCUUUCUUAAGUUCAGUGGGAAUCUUCCAGGUAUGUCAGUACUCAUUCCUCUAUUUCAAGAUCCAAAACAUUGUCUAUGCCUAAUUACUUCAUGCCUGAGCAUAGUACUGACGAAUAAGUCUCUUGAUUUGGAGCAGGUUGUUUACAGUCUCCAGAACUUCUUUCAAGUUUUGAGUGGCUCAUAGCAGAUUUCUCAAGCUUGGAGGCACAUCUAAAUUAUCUGGAAAAGACUUAAAAUUGUGGCUUCCCAAUCCCUCCUCCAGAGUUCUUACCCAGUUGCUUUGAGAUAGGACCCAGAGGUGAACAGUUGUAAAGGCUCCACAGGUAAUAUUGACAUGGGGCUACCUCUGUGAAUCAGAGUCCACACAAAAGACAUGGACAGUUCUUGACCUGGAGGAAUUAGUAGGACAAGGAAAGAUUGCAUACCUAGAAAAAAUAUCUCUCAGUCUCUUUCUGGGUUCUAACUUGAUGUUUAUAUUUUGCAACAGAAAGUCUAGAAUACCCAAUUACUAAAAUCCUUUACAGACAAAAUCUUAGGCUUCUAUGAUCUGCUUAUCUGCUGCAUAUGUUUAAGAGACCUCUUUCCCAGGUUCCAAAGUCCUUGCUUGAUGGGUGGAAAAGUAAUUUGCAACUGGGAGAUAGCAACAAGCUGUAUUAUAUGGAUUUUUUAAAAAAUUGAAGUAUAGUUGAUUUACAAUAUUAUAUUAGGUAUACCACACAGUGAUUCAGGGUUUUUCUAGACUGCCCUCCAUUUAAAUUUAUUGCAAAAUAAUGGCUGUUUUUCCCUGUGACUUACAAUAAGCAACAAGGAUAUAUUGUACAGCACUGGAUUUUUGAUGAACACAAAUUUAGAAUUGAAUUCCAGUUCUGCCACUCACUGUGUGUGGAUUACAUGACUUCUCUUAGCUGCAGCUUUUGCCUCUGUAAAGUGAAGGUAACAUAUUCCUGAUGUGUUUUUUUGUGAAGACAAAUGAAAUGACAUUUAAGUGAUGAGACAAAGUAAACCCAAUUAGUAUGGUUUACCAUAAUGAAAGAACAUUGUGAGGAAUCCAAAAUUAUUUUCACAAUUGGGUUCUAAAACUCUGAAAACUUUGAGCAGACAGUUUAUCAGAAUCAUUGCAAAUUUAAAUAAGCCAAAGGAAUAAUUUUCAGGAGAGGAGAAACAAAUACAUAGAGUGUGGAAGCAUGCAUUCACGUCUAAGUAAUGCAAGGGGUGUGGGGAGCUGGCAUAGUGCAUAGGCAUUAUCUACAUUACUAAACACAUACACCAUUUCUUAAAAAUAAUUGUAACCGAAAGCAUGCCUAAUUCUCUAUGAACAAUCAGUAAAUUAAUAGUCACUUUAGCUUAUUAUCAGUUGGCAUAGCUCAAGUCACAAAAUGGAAUAGCAGGAAGAUUCCCGAGAUCAUUUUCUGGUAAGGAAAGGGGCCUUAGAAAUAUGCAACAACUUAAUUCCUUUAGCCAUACAACUAGCUAAUGAUAUAAAUUAAGAAACAGAAUUAAGUCUCUGUCUAUUUUUCCUAAAGGUAAGAAAAAAGGUGAGUUAUUUUUUAAAUGUUAGGGUAUACAUUCAAUUAGCAGGAAUGUAUUUGUUUAGUGGCACAGAAAUAAAAUAAUUCUUAGCCAGGCUGUGAUUAAGACUCCUCUAAUUGUUAAUUGCACAAUAAAAAGAGUUUUGACACAAAUAAUCUCACUGUUCAUGUGCACAACUUCCAAGUUGUACCGUCAUUAAACAAAAAGUAGACCUAAGGAAAAUUUUCAUUUUUAAUGUGUAAAAAAUGAAUGAUAUUCAAAAUGGUAUUCUUGAGUAGUUCCUAGUUGUGUCACUUUAAAGAACAUCAGAAAUGUUUAUUAUUCCAGAUACUACAUUAGAAAAUUUCAAAAACUGAAUUAAGUCAUUUUUAUCUUAUGAUAUCUCUGGCAACCAAAUGGUUGAAUUAAUUGUAGAUAUAAAGUAUGUUAAAUUAGAGCUUGCUGGAAUUUCAUUAUGAAAAACAAAUGGAAGUUUUAUCUGGAAAACUUUAAGGGCGAUUUCUACAGAAAGGUAUGGUAACUGCAGUGGCUUUCUACACAUGGCUGUGUUCCACUUUGAUUAAUGAGAAUGCAAGGAGGUAGAAAAGCAGGCUCGGCAGAAACAGUACCCAUGCUAAAUUAACAACCCAGUGCUACUCAUUAUGCAAGAAAUACUUGCCAGAGUUACAAUGGUGCAUCCUCUGAUCUCAGAUGGGCGUCAUUAGCCACCUUCAGUCCCUCGGAUAAGACAAUCCAGAAUAUGCCAUUCUCAUCCAAGGCAAGAUUGCCAGAAGAGAGCUCACUAUCAAGAAGGGCAGAAUAUGUGUCUCCAGGGAUUGUAAUGAGCUCAGGCCUUUCAUAUCUUGUUGCCAAGAGCCCUUAAGCAAAUUGAAAAAAUCUGGUGGUCUGUAUGAAACUGAGAGCAGUAUACUUUCUAGAUAACAGAUGACCUAUCUUGAAUAUGUUAUACAUUAUUUUAAAAUAAUGAAUCAAAGGACAAAGACUAUCAUACUUGUGACCAAGAGUUUACCUAAGAGGAAAAAAUAAAACAAAGCAAAAAACUUUCAGCUCGUAGAUGCUCUACACUCAAAUCAAUAAGAGCUCUUGCCCUGGAAGAUUAAUAGGCUAUGUGGCACUAGAAAUGGAGACAGAAAAAAAAAGUUAUGAAAAUAAUGACAUGGAUUUUUAUUCUUAAAAUAAAAAUUCACAUCUCUAGAGCUAUCAGCAUGAUGGCAGCCUUCACAUAAACCAUAUAUUUGUCCAUGUGCCUUUUUCCCCCUCUUUUAAGUUUUUCACUUUUUAAAAAUUUUUUAGGUUUGGUAGGAGUCAGGGUUAGUGGAGUAAUUGUGACAAAUAAAAAACAUUUCCAUAAAUCCUGUGCCAGAUGAAAGUAUGAAGCAACGUUACAGGAGGAAAUGCAACUGGUCAAAAUUAUUUGAGUGAAAUUAUUGAAUAUUUAUCAUCUUCAUUGGAAGACUGUGGUUUAUUCUGAAUCCAAAACAACAAUGUGUACAUAAUAGAUGUUUUUAAAGGGAAAAAGUAAAGAGCUAACAAGUCCGUAGGUAGAUUCAAGUUCACAAAGCUGCAGAAAGGAGAAAAAUGGCAACAACAAACAAGAAAGGAGUCAAGAUCAGAACUCAAGCUCCAGUUUACACAGUCUAUUGUAUAUGUAAUUCACUAGCUCUUCUGGACCACACAUUUCUCAUCUGGCAAUAGAGUGCAGUAGACAUUACUUUAUGAUCACCUAAGAAACUUUUAAACGUCUAGGUUGUUGAUUAGACAUCCUGGGCUAAUUAGCCUGGCACAGGACAUGAGCCACUUCUAGAAUAUUUCUUCUUUUCUUCCUACUCCCUUCCAUGUGAUCAUGUGGAUGCUCUGUGAGCCAGAGAAACAGGGAAAAGAAGUUAGCAGGCAAUUUCUUUAGGAGCUCUAACUAAAGUGUUGCUGAAGAAGAAAGCUUCAGUGGAUCUUUACAGACAAAGAAUAGGGACCCGACAUGCUUCCCUCCUCCCAUUUCCUCAAGAACACACUUAGAGCCUCACCCACAUCUAUCCUUUUUUUUAAAUGUAGUUCUAGUAUCACCUUGAAUAGAACGAAGUACAUUCAAAUAAGGAAGCGCAAAACUAUCAUACUGAAACAAAAUGUGCCAAUUCUAGCCAAUAUGUGACUUGUAAGGGUCAGUAAUACUGAAGGAUUUGAAUGAUAAUUGUAUGUUUUAUUCAUGUAAUGUGAUUUUGCACUAUUGUAUCGUCAUAGUUAAACAGACUCUUAAAAAACCCCAAAACCUAAAUGCCAAAUGUACAGUUUAUAAAUUCAUGUUAUUUCUGAUAAGGAUUUAAUUGCAUUGUGCUAAUAGUUGUUUAAUGCUCUUAAGUUUAAUGCUCUUAACUUUCUGUAUGUGUAUUAUUGCCAUGCAGAUCCAAUAGGGUUGUUGUAAGCACACUAAUUAGUCAUCUGAAUUUUUAUAGAUAAAAGUCACACAUUGAUCAGAAAUCACUUUUCUACUUAUUUUUUUGUAGAGUAUUUUUCCACACUUGAAAAAAAACAUGAUUAUUUUAUAUCAAACAUCAGCUUUUCUUUAAAAUCUUAUUUUAGUAGCCAGUGCAUGUUUGAAAUAAGAUGUGUUAGAAACUAUAUGACGAUAUUAAGAUUGUGACGACAUUAGGUGAAAAAAUGCAUGCCAUUGGUGAAUCAUGCAACUCUGGGGGAAUUUACAGUGCCAGCUCACCCACAGACUUCAUCUCAACCCAUGUGCAUGAUUCACAUUCUUUCAAAAGUCCUUAUUAAACGUUAGCAGUGAAAAUGUUACUCUUAAUGCAAAUAAGUCCAUAGACAAUGCUGCUUUGCUUAUUUUCUAACUUUGCAGCGUAUUGUGGUAAAUUCCAUUCCCCUCAAUUUUCUUCUUGGAGUUUCUUGUUGGCAAUAAAAUACAACAAAUAAAAUCAUUUGUUGGCAAAUGAUACAAUUUACUGUAUAGCAAUUUACUAUAAUAAAGCAUGAAGAUGUGAAAAAAAUAAUCUUAAUUUGUUCCAUACUAUGAACACAAUAUUCUGGCAGCUUUUUCUACAAUCAAGAAUGGUAUGUCUGUGGGAGUUUCCGUUGUGGCUCAGCAGGUUAUGAACCCAAUUAGUACCCAGGUUUGAUCCCUGGCCUCACUCAGUGGGUUAAGGAUCUGGCGUUGGGGAGGUGUAGUGUAGGUCACAGAUGCAGCUCAGAUCCCACAUUGUUGUGGCUGCGGCAUAGGCCAGCAGCUGCAGCUCCCAUUUGACCCCUAGCCUGGGAACUUACUUAUGCCACAGGUGCGGCCC